This 253-nucleotide ribosomal RNA is filed under the name uncultured prokaryote. RNAcentral's name for it is "partial 16S ribosomal RNA". It matches the Rfam family "Bacterial small subunit ribosomal RNA", at positions 524 to 776 of the family's 1533-position model. The record is from RNAcentral.
UACGGGGGGAGCAAGCGUUGUUCGGAUUUACUGGGCGUAAAGGGCGCGUAGGCGGUUUAUUAAGUCGGCUGUGAAAGCCCGGGGCUCAACCCCGGAGGGUCGGCCGAUACUGGCAAGCUAGAGUACAGAAGAGGUAGCUGGAAUUCCCGGUGUAGCGGUGAAAUGCGUAGAUAUCGGAAGGAACACCUGAGGCGAAGGCGGGCUACUGGGCUGAUACUGACGCUGAUGCGCGAAAGCCAGAGGAGCAAACGGG